RNAcentral lists this small nucleolar RNA (174 nucleotides) under Maudiozyma saulgeensis. The record is from RNAcentral. Lineage: Eukaryota; Fungi; Ascomycota; Saccharomycetes; Saccharomycetales; Saccharomycetaceae.
CCCCGGGUUGAUAACUAGAUGGUAUGUUCGGUCUUCAGUCCCAUACUGUCCUUUAAGUAUCCGGGAUAUUAAUUAUUCCAACGAGGGAAUGCUUCUUACACGGUUCUAAAUGCGUUUGACAUUUAUUAUUAAACAUCUAAGCCGUUUCUAACCGUUUACUUUCCCUCGACAUUU